Molecule: ribosomal RNA, 266 nt
Filed under: Anisodus tanguticus
Lineage: Eukaryota; Viridiplantae; Streptophyta; Magnoliopsida; Solanales; Solanaceae
Description: 4.5S ribosomal RNA
Source: RNAcentral
GAAGGUCACGGCGAGACGAGCCGUUUAUCAUUACGAUAGGUGUCAAGUGGAAGUGCAGUGAUGUAUGCAGCUGAGGCAUCCUAACAGACCGGUAGACUUGAACCUUGUUCCUACAUGACCUGAUCAAUUCGAUCAGGCACUCGCCAUCUAUUUUCAUUGUUAAAAUCUUUGACAACACGAAAAAACCAUUGUUCAACUCUUUGACAACAUGAAAAAACCAAAAGCUCUGCCCUCCCUCUCUAUCUAUCCAAGGGAUGGAAGGGCAG